Non-coding RNA from Caenorhabditis elegans, 430 nucleotides. Ensembl annotates it as ncRNA. Its record names the gene W10G6.5. The record is from Ensembl. Lineage: Eukaryota; Metazoa; Nematoda; Chromadorea; Rhabditida; Rhabditidae.
AAAAACUGCCUCACCUCUUCCUUCCCAACCCAUCAACAUUUCUUGUACACGAAGAAGGUGGCGGAUCGGGAGGGGCUGGAGAUGGGCGGCGCAGUGAAGAUGAUGGAAGGGAGCGGUUUUCUCCAAUUUAUCGUUUUUUUUCUCUCUCUCUUUCCUGACCACUUAUCCAUUCGCAAUCCCCGCCUCCAUUGGUGAUUGCAAAAGUGACGAAGAUGGACAUGUUCCCGUAGGUGGUGGAUAACUGGAUUAAAACGAGACGAGAUCGUUAAUUCGGAAGGACUAAAGAGGUUAUCUUGCAAAGAAGAACAAGGAGAUACAUCGGCCUAAUGGGACGAAUAAAUGUUAUUGUACGAUUCACAUCCAAAUGAGUCCCUCUUUUCAUGUCACUGACCGCGAGAUUGCAGAAAAAAAUAAAUUGUGUUACUUGAGA